RNAcentral lists this unclassified non-coding RNA (292 nucleotides) under Hevea brasiliensis (rubber tree). The record is from RNAcentral. Lineage: Eukaryota; Viridiplantae; Streptophyta; Magnoliopsida; Malpighiales; Euphorbiaceae.
UUUCUACUGCUGCUCAGCCUUCUUCCAGCAAGCGAAAACCUCUGAGGGUACCAAAUUUCAUUGGAGGCACAUUUGUUGAUUCGCAAUCAUCUACAGCCAUUGAUGUGAUAAACCCUGCAACGCAAGAAGUUGUAUCACAAGUUCCUUUGACUACAAAUGAAGAGUUCAAAGCUGCAGUGUCUGCAGCAAAGCAGGCUUUUCCAUCUUGGCAUAACACACCAGUGACGACCCGCCAACGCAUUAUGUUCAAGCUCCAAGAGCUUAUUCGUAGAGACAUUGAUAAGCUUGCGAU